Rhea pennata is the source of this 695-nucleotide long non-coding RNA. RefSeq lists it as uncharacterized. NCBI's taxonomy places the organism in Eukaryota, Metazoa, Chordata, Aves, Rheiformes, Rheidae. The transcript is spliced from 3 exons. The record is from RefSeq and is a predicted model, not a curated record.
ACCUCUAGGAAGGCAGAUCACCUAAGCUGAAGGAGGGAGAGGGCUCACCUACCAUAUGGAUAGAGUGGAUCCGGCUCAGCAAGGAUACUGUAAACAAUGGCUGCAUCUGCCACUGAGGCACACUGGGAUCCCAUCCAGAUAAGACAGGGUACAUUUAUUCCUGUAACGAGCAGUGGAGGCCUCAGCCAUCUGAGCAAAGGAAAAAACAAAAUUAGUUGAACUGAAGAUAAUUACCGGUAUCAGAGAAGAAACUACAAAUGGUCUUGUCAGGCUGCUGCCAAGCCAAACUGCACAUCUGCAAACAGACUUGAAGGGAGGAACAUGCUGACUAGCCAGCCACUAAGCACUUCUGCUCUGACAGUGCAACCAUAGCCAUGGUGAGGCAAAGACUGGCAGAAUUUGGUCUCUCCCCACCACACAGACUCCAUGAAAUUUGUAGAAACUUCAUGUUGGUUGUCACUGCUAACAACUUACCAGUUACAGGAAGGAUAGCACUGUUUCUUUUGAAAAGCAGCAGCGUGUGGGAAAAGAGUUUCAAAUACAGACUAUUGACAAUGAGUUUUCCACCGCUACAACAGCAUCAACACAUGUGAUGUGUUCUACUCCACUCCUACAUGCCACCUACUGACCUUGCAUCUAUCAGAUGUUUGAUAACUUCCAAAGUGCUUUCAACCUCAGACUUGUCCUUUGUAGAU